GACAGAGGGUGCAAACGUUGCUCGGAAUUACUGGGCGUAAAGCGCGUGUAGGCGGUCUGCUAAGUCGGGUGUGAAAGCCCUGGGCUCAACCCAGGAAGUGCACUCGAAACUGGCAGGCUAGAGUACUGGAGAGGUUGGUGGAAUUCUCGGUGUAGAGGUGAAAUUCGUAGAUAUCGAGAGGAACACCGGUGGCGAAGGCGGCCAACUGGACAGAUACUGACGCUGAGACUCGAAAGCGUGGGGAGCAAACAGG
This 253-nucleotide ribosomal RNA is filed under the name uncultured bacterium. Its description in RNAcentral is "partial 16S ribosomal RNA". It matches the Rfam family "Bacterial small subunit ribosomal RNA", at positions 524 to 776 of the family's 1533-position model. The record is from RNAcentral.